GACGAACGCUGGCGGCGUGCUUAACACAUGCAAGUCGAACGGAAAGGCCCUGCUUUUGUGGGGUGCUCGAGUGGCGAACGGGUGAGUAACACGUGAGUAACCUGCCCUUGACUUUGGGAUAACUUCAGGAAACUGGGGCUCAUAUCGGAUAGGAGCUCGUGCGGCAUGGUGGGGGCUGGAAAGUUUCGGCUGUUGGGGAUGGACUGGCGGGUUAUCAGCUUGUUGGUGGGGUAGUUGCUUACCAAGCUUGCGACGGAUAGGCGGCAUGAGAGGGUGGACGGCGACAAUAGUACUGAGAUACGGCCCAGACUCGUACGGUGGGCAGCAGUGGAGAACAUUGCACAGUAAGGGGGAGCCUGAUGCAACAGCGCCGCGUUCGGAAUGACGGCCUUCGGGUUGUAAACAGCUUUCGCCUGAGACGUGGCGUUAGUGACGGUAAUGGAUAAAGAAGCACCGGCUAACUACGUG
This 468-nucleotide ribosomal RNA is filed under the name uncultured bacterium. RNAcentral describes it as "partial 16S ribosomal RNA". It matches the Rfam family "Bacterial small subunit ribosomal RNA", at positions 28 to 507 of the family's 1533-position model. The record is from RNAcentral.